Molecule: ribosomal RNA, 793 nt
Filed under: uncultured archaeon
Lineage: Archaea
Description: bacterial SSU rRNA
Rfam family: Archaeal small subunit ribosomal RNA
Source: RNAcentral
ACGGCUCAGUAACACGUGGAUAACCUGCCCUUGGGACCGGCAUAACCCCGGGAAACUGGGGAUAAUUCCGGAUAACGCACAUAUGCUGGAAUGCUUUAUGCGUGAAAUGGAUUCGUCUGCCCAAGGAUGGGUCUGCGGCCUAUCAGGUAGUAGUGGGUGUAAUGGACCUACUAGCCUACAACGGGUACGGGUUGUGAGAGCAAGAGCCCGGAGAUGGAUUCUGAGACAUGAAUCCAGGCCCUACGGGGCGCAGCAGGCGCGAAAACUUUACAAUGCGGGAAACCGUGAUAAGGGGACACCGAGUGCCAGCAUCAUAUGCUGGCUGUCCAGGUGUGUAAAAUACACCUGUUAGCAAGGGCCGGGCAAGACCGGUGCCAGCCGCCGCGGUAACACCGGCGGCCCGAGUGGUGAUCGUGAUUAUUGGGUCUAAAGGGUCCGUAGCCGGUUUGGUCAGUCCUCCGGGAAAUCUGACAGCUCAACUGUUAGGCUUUCGGGGGAUACUGCCAGACUUGGAACCGGGAGAGGUAAGAGGUACUACAGGGGUAGGAGUGAAAUCUUGUAAUCCCUGUGGGACCACCUGUGGCGAAGGCGUCUUACCAGAACGGGUUCGACGGUGAGGGACGAAAGCUGGGGGCACGAACCGGAUUAGAUACCCGGGUAGUCCCAGCCGUAAACGAUGCUCGCUAGGUGUCAGGCAUGGCGCGACCGUGUCUGGUGCCGCAGGGAAGCCGUGAAGCGAGCCACCUGGGAAGUACGGCCGCAAGGCUGAAACUUAAAGGAAUUGGCGGGGGAG